Molecule: ribosomal RNA, 253 nt
Filed under: uncultured bacterium
Lineage: Bacteria
Description: partial 16S ribosomal RNA
Rfam family: Bacterial small subunit ribosomal RNA
Source: RNAcentral
UACGUAGGGCGCAAGCGUUAUCCGGAAUUAUUGGGCGUAAAGAGCUCGUAGGCGGUUUGUCGCGUCUGCCGUGAAAGUCCGGGGCUCAACUCCGGAUCUGCGGUGGGUACGGGCAGACUAGAGUGAUGUAGGGGAGACUGGAAUUCCUGGUGUAGCGGUGAAAUGCGCAGAUAUCAGGAGGGACACCGGUGGCGAAGGCGGGUCUCUGGGCCGAAACUGACGCUGAGGAGCGAAAGCGUGGGGAGCAAACAGG